Molecule: ribosomal RNA, 449 nt
Filed under: uncultured bacterium
Lineage: Bacteria
Description: partial 16S ribosomal RNA
Rfam family: Bacterial small subunit ribosomal RNA
Source: RNAcentral
CCUACGGGCGGCAGCAGUAAGGAAUAUUGGUCAAUGGACGCAAGUCUGAACCAGCCAUGCCGCGUGGAGGAUGAAGGUCCUCUGGAUUGUAAACUUCUUUUAUUUGGGAAGAAACUCCCGAUUUCCAUCUGGAUUGACGGUACCAGAUGAAUACGCACCGGCUAACUCCGUGCCAGCAGCCGCGGUAAUACGGCGGGUGCAAGCGUUAUCCGGAUUCACUGGGUUUAGAGGGGCAGUAGAGUGACAGGUAAAAUCUCCGGGCUUAACCCGGAAACUGCCAUUGAUACUAUUUGUCUUGAAUACUCUGGAGGUGAGCGGAAUAUGUCAUGUAGCGGUGAAAUGCUUAGAUAUGACAUAGAACACCCAUUGCGAAGGCAGCUCACUACGGAAAUAUUGACGCUGAGGCACGAAAGCGUGGGGAUCAAACAGGAUUAGAUACCCCUGUAGUC